Hypholoma sublateritium FD-334 SS-4 is the source of this 85-nucleotide transfer RNA. It matches the Rfam family "tRNA". Rfam says of the family: Transfer RNA (tRNA) molecules are approximately 80 nucleotides in length. The record is from Rfam. Lineage: Eukaryota; Fungi; Basidiomycota; Agaricomycetes; Agaricales; Strophariaceae.
GGCCUGGUGGUCUAGUAGCAUGAUUCCUCCUUUGGGUUUUCACUUCGAAUGGUGGAGGUCCCGGGUUCAAUUCCCGGUCAGGCCC